AUAUUGGUCAAUGGGCGUAAGCCUGAACCAGCCAAGUAGCGUGAGGGAAGACUGCCCUAUGGGUUGUAAACCUCUUUUGUGCGGGGAUAAAGUGAGGGACGUGUCCCUUAUUGCAGGUACCGCACGAAUAAGGACCGGCUAAUUCCGUGCCAGCAGCCGCGGUAAUACGGAAGGUCCGGGCGUUAUCCGGAUUUAUUGGGUUUAAAGGGAGCGCAGGCCGUCCUUUAAGCGUGCUGUGAAAUGCCGCGGCUCAACCGUGGCACUGCAGCGCGAACUGGAGGACUUGAGUACGCACGAGGUAGGCGGAAUUCGUGGUGUAGCGGUGAAAUGCUUAGAUAUCACGAAGAACUCCGAUUGCGAAGGCAGCUUACCGGAGCGCAACUGACGCUGAGGCUCGAAAGCGCGGGUAUCGAACAGGAUUAGAUACCCUGGUAGUCCGCGCGGUAAACGAUGGAUGCCCGCCGUUGGGUUUUAGAAUUCAGCGGCCAAGCGAAAGCGUUAAGCAUCCCACCUGGGGAGUACGCCGGCAACGGUGAAACUCAAAGGAAUUGACGGGGGCCCGCACAAGCGGAGGAACAUGUGGUUUAAUUCGAUGAUACGCGAGGAACCUUACCCGGGUUUAAAUGGGAAAUGUCGUAUUUGGAAACAGAUGAUUCUCUUCGGAGCGUUUUUGAAGGUGCUGCAUGGUUGUCGUCAGCUCGUGCCGUGAGGUGUCGGCUCAAGUGCCAUAACGAGCGCAACCCCUGUCCAUAGUUGCCAUCAGGUUAUGCUGGGCACUCUGUGGAGACUGCCGCCGUAAGGUGUGAGGAAGGUGGGGAUGACGUCAAAUCAGCAC
RNAcentral lists this ribosomal RNA (835 nucleotides) under human gut metagenome. RNAcentral's name for it is "bacterial SSU rRNA". It matches the Rfam family "Bacterial small subunit ribosomal RNA", at positions 361 to 1196 of the family's 1533-position model. The record is from RNAcentral.